Molecule: ribosomal RNA, 416 nt
Filed under: uncultured bacterium
Lineage: Bacteria
Description: bacterial SSU rRNA
Rfam family: Bacterial small subunit ribosomal RNA
Source: RNAcentral
UAUUGGUCAAUGGGCGGGAGCCUGAACCAGCCAAGCCGCGUGAGGGAAGAAGGUACAGCGUAUCGUAAACCUCUUUUGUCAGGGAACAAAGGCGGGGACUAGUCCCCGGAUGAGGGUACCUGAAGAAAAAGCAUCGGCUAACUCCGUGCCAGCAGCCGCGGUAAUACGGAGGAUGCGAGCGUGAUCCGGAUUUAUUGGGUUUAAAGGGUGCGCAGGCGGCCUGUUAAGUCAGCGGGAAAAGCCCGGGGCUCAACCCCGGCGAGCCGUUGAAACUGGCGGGCUGGAGUUGGAGAGAAGUACGCGGAAUGCGCGGCGUAGCGGUGAAAUGCUUAGAUAUCGCGCAGAACCCCGAUUGCGAAGGCAGCGUACCGGCUCCACACUGACGCUGAGGCACGAAAGCGUGGGUAUCGAACAGG